UCUUUAUACUUUUGUAUUGUUUAAUUUUUUUUAACAGUUGUCUUGUUUUUUCUUCUGCAGUGAAAAUAAUGGUGACAAGAAGCCCACUGCCUGAUUCACAUAAGCAAGGCAUGCUGCAGGGAAGACAGGGUUCUUAUUAAUAUUUCCUUUCAUGUGCUUACAUAUGAGUUACAGUUGCUAAUCCUUUCCCACAGUUUAGCACCUAGUUAAAAGAAAGGGCUUCGGAAUCAGGUAAGUGUAGAUUAAAGUUAUAACGGCAAAUUGCUGAACCUUUGGAAGCCUCGGUUUUUCCACCUGGAAAAUGGAUUUUUAUCUUACAGGACUGUCGUGAGGAUUGAUGAGCUAACAUUCCUAAAUCAGGGAGUUUGAAGUCUGGCCCAGGGUAUUUUCCUCCUUUCCUGAAAUAAUGUGUAGUUCUGACCAAGUGAGAAGAAUCAUAAGAAUAUGGGAUUUUGAAAAACAUGAAAACAUCCUAAGAAAUACCAGGAAGGAGUCCCACAGUGAAGCACAAAUGAAACUCAAGAUGACUGCCUAAAAUAAGAAAUCAUGGAUCUUAGGAGAAAGGGGGCAAGGAAGUAAAUCAAAGGACAAAGCUGAAGACCAAGUGGACCGAAAAGAAGAUGGAAUACAUUUUCCCAAACACUGGUGUUCUCUGGAGUUGGCUUAUCAACAUCUUGUGCAAUCGGAGGAUCGUGUGGUUUACUUCCAGCCAGCUGCCCCGUGGUCCUCCAGCCAGCUCCGGGGGCCACAGUUUUCACACGCUCCGGGAGCGAUCCGAGAGCCGCCUUUUCGUGGAAAGUUACGCUGCCGCCUGGCAACCCCCGGGAACGUCGGGAGGGGCAAGUUGCUGCUCAUCCCUCAGUGCUCAAGUCAUGAGUAGCGAAUUCCUGGCUGAGCUGCACUGGGAGGAUGGGUUCGCCAUCCCGGUGGCGAACGAGGAGAACAAGCUACUGGAAGAUCAGUUGUCAAAGCUGAAGGAUGAAAGAGCAAGCUUGCAAGAUGAGUUACGUGAGUAUGAAGAGCGAAUUAAUUCUAUGACUUCUCACUUCAAAAAUGUUAAGCAAGAGCUCUCAAUUACACAGUCUCUUUGCAAAGCAAGGGAGCGUGAGACUGAAAGUGAAGAACAUUUUAAGGCCAUUGCUCAAAGAGAAUUGGGACGAGUGAAAGAUGAAAUUCAACGGCUGGAAAAUGAGAUGGCUUCAAUACUGGAAAAGAAAAGUGAUAAAGAAAAUGGCAUAUUUAAAGCCACUCAAAAAUUGGAUGGUUUGAAAUGUCAAAUGAACUGGGACCAGCAAGCAUUGGAGGCCUGGUUAGAAGAAUCAGCUCAUAAAGAUAGUGAUGCUCUCACUCUCCAGAAGUAUGCACAACAAGAUGAUAAUAAAAUCAGGGCACUGACUCUGCAAUUAGAAAGACUAACUUUGGAAUGUAAUCAGAAAAGAAAGAUACUUGACAACGAACUUACAGAGACUAUAAGCGCACAGUUAGAAUUGGAUAAAGCAGCACAAGAUUUUCGUAAGAUUCAUAAUGAAAGACAAGAACUCAUUAAACAAUGGGAGAACACAAUAGAACAGAUGCAGAAGAGGGAUGGAGACAUAGAUAACUGUGCUUUGGAAUUAGCAAGGAUAAAGCAGGAAACGAGAGAAAAAGAAAAUUUGGUUAAAGAAAAGAUCAAGUUUUUGGAAAGUGAGAUUGGGAAUAACACAGAGUUUGAGAAAAGAAUUUCUGUGGCUGAUCGUAAACUUUUAAAAUGUAGAACGGCAUAUCAGGACCAUGAAACUAGUAGAAUUCAGCUGAAGGGUGAGCUGGAUUCUUUAAAAGCCACUGUGAAUAGAACUUCCAGUGAUUUAGAAGCUCUGAGGAAAAAUAUUUCCAAGAUAAAGAAGGACAUUCAUGAAGAAACAGCAAGGUUACAAAAAACUAAAAAUCAUAAUGAGAUAAUACAAACAAAAUUAAAGGAGAUAACUGAGAAAACCAUGUCUGUAGAAGAGAAAGCUACUAAUUUGGAAGAUAUGCUAAAGGAGGAGGAAAAAGAUGUGAAGGAAGUAGAUGUUCAACUGAACCUCAUAAAAGGUGUGCUGUUUAAGAAAGCUCAGGAGUUACAGACUGAGACAAUGAAAGAAAAAGCUGUUUUAUCAGAAAUUGAAGGAACUCGUUCCUCUCUGAAACAUCUCAACCAUCAGUUACAAAAACUGGAUUUUGAAACCUUGAAGCAGCAAGAAAUUAUGUACAGCCAGGAUUUUCACAUUCAACAAGUGGAACGGAGAAUGUCACGGUUAAAGGGAGAAAUUAAUUCAGAAGAAAAACAAGCGCUUGAAGCAAAAAUUGUUGAACUUAGGAAGUCUUUGGAAGAGAAAAAAUCUACAUGUGGCCUUUUGGAAACACAGAUCAAGAAGCUUCAUAAUGAUCUUUAUUUUAUCAAGAAGGCACAUAGUAAAAACAGUGAUGAAAAACAGUCCCUUAUGACCAAAAUAAAUGAACUAAACCUUUUCAUCGACAGAUCAGAGAAAGAACUUGAUAAAGCCAAAGGUUUUAAGCAGGAUUUGAUGAUAGAGGACAAUCUUUUAAAACUUGAAGUUAAGCGUACUCGAGAAAUGCUUCACAGUAAGGCAGAAGAAGUUCUUUCCCUAGAAAAAAGAAAACAGCAAUUAUACACAGCAAUGGAAGAGCGAACUGAAGAAAUCAAGGUUCAUAAAACAAUGCUUGCGUCACAAAUAAGAUAUGUUGAUCAAGAACGGGAAAACAUAAGCACUGAGUUUCGCGAGCGGCUAAGUAAAAUUGAGAAGCUGAAGAAUAGAUAUGAAAUUCUGACUGUUGUUAUGCUGCCUCCUGAAGGAGAAGAGGAGAAAACACAGGCCUAUUAUGUAAUAAAGGUGAUGAGUAUGAGCUAAAAAUUCAACUAGAAGAACAAAAAAGAGCUGUUGAUGAAAAAUACAGAUACAAACAAAGACAAAUCAGAGAACUUCAAGAAGACAUCCAGAGCAUGGAAAAUACAUUAGAUGUUAUAGAACAUUUGGCAAAUAAUGUUAAAGAAAAGUUAUCAGAGAAGCAGGCUUAUUCAUUUCAACUAAGUAAAGAAACGGAGGAGCAGAAGCCAAAAUUAGAAAGAGUGACCAAACAGUGUGCAAAACUCACAAAGGAAAUCCGUCUUUUGAAAGACACAAAAGAUGAAACAAUGGAAGAACAAGACAUCAAACUUCGUGAAAUGAAACAGUUUCACAAAGUUAUUGAUGAAAUGUUAGUUGAUAUCAUAGAAGAAAAUACUGAGAUCCGUAUUAUCCUUCAAACAUACUUUCAACAGAGUGGGUUAGAACUACCUACAGCUAGCACAAAAGGCAGUCGUCAGAGCUCUAGAUCUCCUUCACAUACUUCACUAUCAGCAAGGUCAUCUAGGAGUACAAGUACAUCUACUUCUCAGUCUUCAAUUAAAGUACUGGAGCUUAAAUUCCCGGCCUCCUCUUCACUAGUAGGCAGCCCUUCUAGGCCAUCUAGUGCUAGUAGUAGCUCUAGUAAUGUUAAGAGCAAAAAGAGCAGCAAAUAAACAUUUUAAUCUCUUCUGAAAAAGUUGUAAACACAAAAACAAAAAUAUACUUUAAAAUACAAAACGACCCAACACAUUUUAUCUAGUGGAAAGUGUAAAAACUUAGUGGUAAGUGUAAAAACUGAUAGUUUUAAAAAAAAAGGAACGUUCUCAUUUUCUCUACUGUUUUCUUCAUACUGAAGAAAUUAAUAGCAGAUUCUUGACAAGGCUACAUGUUAUACAAGCAUAGGAAAAAUGCUGUAUUUCACUGUAAUUCUGAUGUUCGUAGUGUUAGAAAAUAGUUUGCUUCAUUAUUUCACGAAACUACACUCACUUCUAAUGUAACAAUCUUUCAAGAAGAAAUUUCUAAAGAUUUACUGUACUAUUAUGAGCGUAUUGCAAUGUGAAAAUCUCAUUUACCCUACAAGACACCAAAAUUAGGUUUUCUUUAUUCAAAGUAACUAUUUCUCAGACUUUUGGGGAGAAAAAUUGUUAAAGGCAGUUUCUUCUUUUGCUAUAAUUUUUAACCAAAAAAUAGCAUCAACCCCUACCCACCCCACCCCCCCAAAAAAAAACCGGUAAGAGAAACACUGUAUAUCAAUUUUAAAAUGCAGCAUAAAUUUAGAAAAAUCACUUCUGACCUUGAAAUAAAUCACUUCUGACCUUGAAAUAAACGCAUUAAAGAUUUGCUUUCAGAUACAGCCAACCAAGUAUAAACAAUUUUGAAAUUUUCUUGAUUUAAUAAACGAUUUAAUGAAAGCUAGGUAUGACUUGAUUUGCAAUAGAAAUUUCAUUUACAGUUGGAGGUAGACUGCCAAAUGUAGUAGUUUUUCCAGUUAACACUUCAUUAUAACAUGUGCCCAACACUUUGUACUCUUGGAAUAGAGUGUGGAAUAUUAUAAAACUGGAUUUUAAAUAAAUGUAUUAGAAUUCA
Long non-coding RNA from Homo sapiens (human), 4451 nucleotides. Lineage: Eukaryota; Metazoa; Chordata; Mammalia; Primates; Hominidae. The record is from Ensembl.